CUCUCUCUUUCACGCAGUCUCUCCCUCUCUCUUUCUCUCUCUCUCUCUCUCUCACGCAGUCUCGCCCUCUCUCUCUCUAUUGGUAACCUUUUGGAAAUCUCAUUUGUUUUGUUUUUCUUAGCAGAAAGAAUGGAGCUUUGAUGGUCUCUCUCAAGCAGUCUCUGUUCUAAAGCAUCUCAGCUCCCUUCUCUCUUGUGCCGGUGAGUUCUGGGAAACAACAAGUUUCAAGCUUCAUAGUUUCAAGCUUCAUCUCCGAAACAACAAGUCUCGGAAACCCAUCUCUUCCUUUGAGGUCUCGGCUCCCUUUGCUUUGAGGUUCUCACUGCUCUGUUCUCUUUGUUUAUAACAGCCUUUAUUUAACCAACAAGUUUUAUUGUGUUGAGCUCUGUUCUCUUUUCUCUUGCUGUGUCUUUGUGUUGUUUACUGUUUGAAAAGUACUUACUUUCUUUGUUCUGAAGUAAUGCUGCCUCUUGUCUUGUUGAAUUCGUUGCAUGUUAUUAGAUACAUUGAAGAUU
Molecule: long non-coding RNA, 515 nt
Organism: Brassica rapa (field mustard)
Lineage: Eukaryota; Viridiplantae; Streptophyta; Magnoliopsida; Brassicales; Brassicaceae
Source: RefSeq, a predicted model, not a curated record